ACUCAAAUGAAUAGACGGGGACCCGCACAAGCGGUGGAUUAUGUGGAUUAAUUCGAUGCAACGCGAAAAACCUUACCUACCCUUGACAUGUCAGAAAGUAUUCAGAGAUGAAUUCGUGCCCGAAAGGGAGUCUGAACACAGGUGCUGCAUGGCUGUCGUCAGCUCGUGUCGUGAGAUGUUGGGUUAAGUCCCGCAACGAGCGCAACCCUUGUCAUUAAUUGCCAUCAUUUGGUUGGGCACUUUAAUGAGACUGCCGGUGACAAACCGGAGGAAGGUGGGGAUGACGUCAAGUCCUCAUGGCCCUUAUGGGUAGGGCUUCACACGUAAUACAAUGGCGCGUACAGAGGGUUGCCAACCUGCGAAGGGGAGCUAAUCUCAGAAAGCGCGUCGUAGUCCGGAUCGGAGUCUGCAACUCGACUCCGUGAAGUCGGAAUCGCUAGUAAUCGCGGAUCAGCAUGUCGCGGUGAAUACGUUCCCGGGUCUUGCACACACCGCCCGU
Molecule: ribosomal RNA, 499 nt
Filed under: uncultured bacterium
Lineage: Bacteria
Description: partial 16S ribosomal RNA
Rfam family: Bacterial small subunit ribosomal RNA
Source: RNAcentral